RNAcentral lists this ribosomal RNA (444 nucleotides) under uncultured soil bacterium. RNAcentral's name for it is "bacterial SSU rRNA". It matches the Rfam family "Bacterial small subunit ribosomal RNA", at positions 26 to 518 of the family's 1533-position model. The record is from RNAcentral.
AGAACGAACGCUGGCGGCAUGCCUAAUACAUGCAAGUCGAACGAACACUUCGGUGUUAGUGGCGCACGGGUGCGUAACGCGUGGGAAUCUGCCCCUUGGUUCGGAAUAACAGUUGGAAACGACUGCUAAUACCGGAUGAUGACGAAAGUCCAAAGAUUUAUCGCCAAGGGAUGAGCCCGCGUAGGAUUAGCUAGUUGGUGAGGUAAAGGCUCACCAAGGCAACGAUCCUUAGCUGGUCUGAGAGGAUGAUCAGCCACACUGGGACUGAGACACGGCCCAGACUCCUACGGGAGGCAGCAGUAGGGAAUAUUGGACAAUGGGCGAAAGCCUGAUCCAGCAAUGACGCGUGAGUGAUGAAGCCUUAGGGUUGUAAAGCUCUUUUACCCGAGAUGAUAAUGACAGUAUCGGAGAAUAAGCCCGGCUAACGUCCGUGCCAGCAGCCGC